Molecule: ribosomal RNA, 447 nt
Filed under: uncultured bacterium
Lineage: Bacteria
Description: partial 16S ribosomal RNA
Rfam family: Bacterial small subunit ribosomal RNA
Source: RNAcentral
AACGAACGCUGGCGGCAUGCCUAACACAUGCAAGUCGAACGAUGCCUUCGGGCAUAGUGGCGCACGGGUGCGUCACGCGUGGGAAUCUGCCCUUGUCUUCGGAAUACCUGUUAGAAAUGACUGCUAAUACCGGAUGAUGUCCCCCUGAGAAAUCUUUGGGACCACAGAUUUAUCGGCCAGGGAUGAGCCCGCGUCGGAUUAGGUAGUUGGUGGGGUAAAGGCCUACCAAGCCGACGAUCCUUAGCUGGUCUGAGAGGAUGAUCAGCCACACUGGGACUGAGACACAGCCCAGACUCCUACGGGAGGGAGCAGUGGGGAAUAUUGGACAGUGGGGGGAACCAUGAACCAGCAAUGACGGGUGAGUGAUGAAGGUAGUAGGGUUGUAAAGCUCAUUUAACAGGGAAGAUAAUGACAGUACCUGGAGAGUAAGCUCCGGCUAACUACGUG